Molecule: long non-coding RNA, 773 nt
Filed under: Lepisosteus oculatus (spotted gar)
Lineage: Eukaryota; Metazoa; Chordata; Actinopteri; Semionotiformes; Lepisosteidae
Description: lncRNA (ENSLOCG00000022719.1)
Source: RNAcentral
AUGGGGCUUUCAGCAGCGUGGGGAAGCUGGAAAUUCCAGGCUGCUCCUGCCUCUAGAAAAGCCCACCGGACAGCCGAGGUCAGGCGUGGAGACCCUCGGGCUGCCAGGUCAGGAGUCGGUGGGCAGUGUGAAAGUCCCCCCACUGGAGAAGACAGCCUGAAUAAAAGAGUGAAAUCAAGACUGUGCUGGUGGGGGGGCUUCGCUCUGGAGAGUUUAGCCAGAGGCCAGUGGGAAACUCCCACCCGAGCUCAGAGCAAACAGAGUUUGAACACUUUUUUUACACAGGCCAAGGACAGGGAACACGUGUGCGAUGAAGCCCUGUAUUUAUGGCCAGAGAAACUAUUUCAGGGACUCAAAGAGGAAGAGGGCUGGCGCGGGGCUCAUGUGACUGCCCUGCGGUGACGUGAUGAACAUCCUAAUUGGAUUGGAACAUAACAAUUGGAAUGUCACCCUGGAUCUCAGUGAAAUAUACUGUAAACUUACGACUGUUUGGUCCUUGAUGGAAGAGUACAGAGUGAACCGAGAGUUAUAUACGGGAGACCGAAUUGCAGACCGGUACUCAUCUGAACACCGCUACGGUUUAUACGUAAAGACUUCAUUUAACUGUAACAUCAUGAGGCGCGUCGCAUCAACGAUCCAUCUGAUAGCUGUGUUUGAAUGUGGAAAAUUUUCUGUAUUAUUAAAAUGUACUUCUUGCACUGCAUUUUUAUUAUUUGCUAAAUUAUUUAUUUACUGUACGUCUGGACGUACUAAUGAUUGAAAAUAAAAUGAAC